AUGCAUCGUUACAAAUAAUAUAGAAGCCUUUUUCCUACUGGAUUUCAAUCUCUGUGUUAUUAUUUACUCAACGUCUUGAGAUGAAUUAUGGCCCUAGUGGAUGAGAUGUGGAAGAAGGGAGAAUACAAAGGAAUAGUCAGCCGCUGACCAUGCUGCAUUUCCAUUUCCAUGGGACAUAAAGGGCUUCUAUCUGUGGUUUAACCAUUAACCCGCAUUUUUGCAUAUGAUCCUCAGUCUUUUGCCACACAGACGCACCAUCCGUUGUCAUUUCGAAGCCAUGUAUUCCACUGUUUGGUAUACAACUUCAUAUAUUUUUUUUUUUUAAAUUAGAAAACCAAAACAACCUCAGAUCAAAGCUUCAGUCCAUGUAUAUGAAGGGAAAACCCCACAAGGAGCAGGGUGUGAAAAAUGGGAAGUUUCAUCACCAACAGGCAAAGCAGAAGACACGCAGCGAGGAGCAGGGGAGAAGGAAUCCGGCAGCGGGGGAAUCCCUGUGCAUGAUGCAAAACAGGAUAUUUUGGCUGGACUCGCAUCAACCUGGAGGCUAACGUUGCCUUUCGCCCCCGCACCUGAACUUUUCGGUGACCCAACCCGGAUCACAGACAGUCCUCUUACUUUGUUUCCAAAAACAAAGGGAAGAUGGGAUCUAAAAAUCCCCAGUUUACUUUUUAAAAUUUAUUGCUGCACUUUUUACUUGAUCUUUGCGUAAUAGUAGUUGACUGGUUGUUUAAAUCUUGACAGAUUUGAUAAAAAAAAAAAAAAAAAAAUGUUUCUGAGUUAUUUACACAAAUCCAGGCUUCUUUAUCGCUGUCAGCGAAGAGGAGUUAGAGACGCAGACCUCUGGAUGUUGGCCAGACGACCGUCCAUAUCUUCCCACAAUGUUGACACUCGGAGCUCUUAACAGCCAGGCUUGGGUUACCGAGACACUGAGCCGAAGAUAACUCUUUCUGCGAGGUUUACACCGGCCAACAUCAAGGCUAAUGCGAAAUUCAACGCCUUAAGCUGAGUUGGAGCCAUUUCUCAUGGACAGAGACCAGACGGAAUUGAACGGUGGAACUGUUUAUAUAUGAGGGGCUGUAAUAAAGCUAUUAAAAAUAUCUGACUUAUUUUUAUGUCUAAAACUGUUUUCAGGUCACAUACAGUAAGCUUUUAUGUUGAAUUUUGGAGGUAAGUGCAAAUAAUACUACUACUACUACUACUACUAAUAAUAAUAAUAAUAAUAAUAAUAAUAAUAAUAAUAGAAUUUUACUGUACAAAAUUACUAUUUUUAAAUAAACCAAUAAAUCAAGAAUCUCUUGCAUGUUCAACAGUAACUCUUCCAGUGUCAUACUGAAGUCUGUUGUGUUCACAGUUUUGAAGACAGAGUUAUACAUUCAGUUUAACUUUCGGUUUUUGUAUUAUUUCACACUCAGAAAGUUUAAGUUUCAGUAUAGUCUAUACCACCUGUUUCUCUACAACCAUAUUCUGUUUCAUUUAGCAAAAAAAAAAAAAAAA
Long non-coding RNA from Sphaeramia orbicularis (orbiculate cardinalfish), 1494 nucleotides. RefSeq lists it as uncharacterized. The record is from RefSeq and is a predicted model, not a curated record. The transcript is spliced from 2 exons. Lineage: Eukaryota; Metazoa; Chordata; Actinopteri; Kurtiformes; Apogonidae.